GACGAACGCUGGCGGCGUGCCUAAUACAUGCAAGUCGAGCGGACGGAUGGGAGCUUGCUCCCAGACCGUCAGCGGCGGACGGGUGAGUAACACGUGGGCAACCUGCCUGUAAGACUGGGAUAACUCCGGGAAACCGGGGCUAAUACCGGAUACCUCUUUCCCUCACGUGAGGGAAAGCUGAAAGAUGGCAUCUCGCUAUCACUUACAGAUGGGCCCGCGGCGCAUUAGCUAGUUGGUGAGGUAACGGCUCACCAAGGCGACGAUGCGUAGCCGGCCUGAGAGGGUGAUCGGCCACACUGGGACUGAGACACGGCCCAGACUCCUACGGGAGGCAGCAGUAGGGAAUCUUCCGCAAUGGGCGAAAGUCUGACGGAGCAACGCCGCGUGAGUGAUGAAGGUUUUCGGAUCGUAAAACUCUGUUGUCAGGGAAGAACAAGUACCGGAGUAACUGCCGGUACCUUGACGGUACCUGAACAGAAAGCCACGGCUAACUACGUG
This 498-nucleotide ribosomal RNA is filed under the name uncultured bacterium. RNAcentral's name for it is "partial 16S ribosomal RNA". It matches the Rfam family "Bacterial small subunit ribosomal RNA", at positions 28 to 507 of the family's 1533-position model. The record is from RNAcentral.